UAAGGCACACGGUGAAUGCUAA
Molecule: microRNA, 22 nt
Filed under: Callorhinchus milii (elephant shark)
Lineage: Eukaryota; Metazoa; Chordata; Chondrichthyes; Chimaeriformes; Callorhinchidae
Description: Cmi-Mir-124-P4_3p (mature (guide))
Source: RNAcentral